CUACGGGUCGCUGCAGUGGGGAAUAUUGCACAAUGGGGGAAACCCUGAUGCAGCAACGCCGCGUGAAGGAUGAAGGCCCUUGGGUCGUAAACUUCUGUUCUAAGGGAAGAUAAUGACGGUACCUUAGGAGCAAGUCCCGGCUAACUACGUGCCAGCAGCCGCGGUAAUACGUAGGGGGCAAGCGUUAUCCGGAAUUAUUGGGCGUAAAGCGUGCGUAGGCGGUUUUUUAAGCACGGGGUUUAAGGCAAUGGCUUAACCAUUGUUCGCCCUGUGAACUGGGAGACUUGAGUGCGGGAGAGGAAAGCGGAAUUCCUAGUGUAGCGGUGAAAUGCGUAGAUAUUAGGAGGAACACCAGUGGCGAAGGCGGCUUUCUGGACCGUAACUGACGCUGAGGCACGAAAGCGUGGGGAGCAAACAGGAUUAGAUACCCGCGUAGUC
This 438-nucleotide ribosomal RNA is filed under the name uncultured bacterium. RNAcentral's name for it is "partial 16S ribosomal RNA". It matches the Rfam family "Bacterial small subunit ribosomal RNA", at positions 339 to 795 of the family's 1533-position model. The record is from RNAcentral.